GGUGUUGUAGCACAGCAGGUUAAUGCCCUGGCCUAAAGCGCCAGCAUCCCAUAUGGACACGGGUUCGAGACCUGGCUGCUCCA
This is a transfer RNA of Oryctolagus cuniculus (rabbit), 83 nucleotides long. It matches the Rfam family "tRNA". Rfam says of the family: Transfer RNA (tRNA) molecules are approximately 80 nucleotides in length. NCBI's taxonomy places the organism in Eukaryota, Metazoa, Chordata, Mammalia, Lagomorpha, Leporidae. The record is from Rfam.